RNAcentral lists this ribosomal RNA (498 nucleotides) under uncultured bacterium. RNAcentral's name for it is "partial 16S ribosomal RNA". It matches the Rfam family "Bacterial small subunit ribosomal RNA", at positions 28 to 523 of the family's 1533-position model. The record is from RNAcentral.
GAUGAACGCUAGCGGCAGGCCUAAUACAUGCAAGUCGAGGGAGAAUGUUGGAUUCGUCUGACAUGAAACCGGCGCACGGGUGCGUAACACGUAUGCAACCUACCUUUAACUGGGGUAUAGCUCAGAGAAAUCUGAAUUAAUCCCCCAUAAGACUACGACAUGGCAUCAUGAUGUAGUUAAAGCUCCGGCGGUUAAGGAUGGGCACGCGGUACAUUAGCUAGUUGGUGAGGUAAUGGCUCACCAAGGCUACGAUGUAUAGGGGGUCUGAGAGGAUGAUCCCCCACACUGGUACUGAGACACGGACCAGACUCCUACGGGAGGCAGCAGUAGGGAAUAUUGGUCAAUGGACGCAAGUCUGAACCAGCCAUGCCGCGUGAAGGAUGAAGGCCCUAUGGGUCGUAAACUUCUUUUAUUAGGGAAGAAAAAACGGGAUGCGUCCUGUACUGACGGUACUUAAUGAAUAAGGAUCGGCUAACUUCGAGCCAGCAGCCGCAGUAA